This 1516-nucleotide long non-coding RNA is filed under the name Suricata suricatta (meerkat). RNAcentral's name for it is "lncRNA (ENSSSUG00005015402.1)". Lineage: Eukaryota; Metazoa; Chordata; Mammalia; Carnivora; Herpestidae. The record is from RNAcentral.
UUUAUUAAACAUCCAAGAGCGGGUUCGGAUGGAAGGGACGAGGGGCGCACACGCGCCACACGCACACGCGCGCGCAAAGAUAAGGGGGAGAAAAGGCGAUCCCGGGAAGGCAGUGGUCUCCGCUUCGGUUCCUUCUUCCUCCUCCUCCUCUUUUCCUCCUCCUCCUCCUCCUCCUCCUCCUCCUCCUCCUCCUCCUCCUCCUCCUCCUCCACCUCCUCCUGCUCUUCCUCCUCCCUCCUCCUCCUCGCCGGCCUCGAUGGCGGAUCCGCGCCGGGGGAGAGAGAUCACUCACUGCAGGUGCUGACCUGCAGUUGGUGACAGUGCUUUGCUGCCAUGGAAGGCUCCGGACCAUGUCGCCAGCCCAGCAAUCCAUUGCUCGACUUCAUUAACCACAGGAAGACAUUAAGUGAAUGUAAGGACCAGAACAGCCUGGAAACCAUGUGAUGAGCAGCCUUUAAGUUCUGGGCUCUGGUAUAUUUUAUGCCACCUUGACUGUGUAUCAAGCUCUCCUUCCUGGACUCAUUAGAACUGUGUGCCCAAAGGUACCCCUCAACUCUCAGAAGCAAAUAGAGAAUGAUAUAAUUCACUCUGAGAACACCUUUCUGUCUUAUCCAGAGCGUGUCUUAGCUAUUAUGAUUAGGCAUUAGGCAUCCUAUUGUCCUGAAAAUUUCAUGAGAUUCUCCCCCUGCUUGCUAGGAUUAUGUCAAAGUGACUUGUCCCGGGUGCUGUUUUCGCCCAUUAAUACAGCUUGUCUCCUCUCCUUAAUCAUUGCUGGGAAGGCCAACACGGCAAAGGAACCCACAGGCUUAAAAUGGGCAAAUAGUUCGAAACCAUUGCAAACCCUCUGUUGAGAAGGCUUGUGUUGUCUUGCUUCAGGUUCCCCGAGAAGCAGACCCUGAGACAAAGAUUUGAAAGCGAGUAGUUUGCUGGGCACAGGAGCUCGGGAAAGGAGGGAAGUGAACAGGGUAGGGAACAGCUACCAACCGGCAGUUGUGCUACCGAGCAGUUAGUUGAUGAUCGCUGUGGGUGACAAAGCUUACCCUGCUGGAGUACCGGUGUAGCCUAACGUGCUUUGGAGAGAUCUCUCCACAAGAGCGAGAGCCCUGGGUGAUGCACCCAUCCGCGCCUGCCAGCCCUUGCAGAGAGGGUGUGCCUGGCCUUCCCUGCAGACAAAGGGCCGCUGGGGCUGGUGGCUAAAUUGGGUGUGAAGAAGUGGGCAGGACGCCAGACCAGGUGGGCACCCAGGAGGAAAGAGAAGUCUAGAUUCGGAAGCAGACCUGCACUCUAAAAAAAAUACUUUUACUUCUUACUAAGACUACAACCUUGGGCAAGUUGUGGGGCCUCUCUGAGCCUCAGUUUUCCUGUCUGUGAAAUGGAGAUAAUUAAAUAUGCCACCGAUUCCGUUCAGGGGCACGGAGAGGAGUUUUAAAUAAAUGUGAAAUCCAUAGCAUGACACUUGGCACAUAGAUAACAUUCCCGGGUCUUUAGCUUUUUCCUUAGAAGUAUUUGUUGAUCG